UACGUAGGGGCAAGCGUUGUCCGGAAUUAUUGGGCGUAAAGAGCGCGCAGGUGGUUGAUUAAGUCUGAUGUGAAAGCCCACGGCUUAACCGUGGAGGGUCAUUGGAAACUGGUCGACUUGAGUGCAGAAGAGGGAAGUGGAAUUCCAUGUGUAGCGGUGAAAUGCGUAGAGAUAUGGAGGAACACCAGUGGCGAAGACGGCUUCCUGGUCUGUAACUGACACUGAGGCGCGAAAGCGUGGGGAGCAAACAGGAUUAGAUACCCU
Molecule: ribosomal RNA, 264 nt
Filed under: uncultured prokaryote
Description: partial 16S ribosomal RNA
Rfam family: Bacterial small subunit ribosomal RNA
Source: RNAcentral